Molecule: ribosomal RNA, 471 nt
Filed under: uncultured bacterium
Lineage: Bacteria
Description: bacterial SSU rRNA
Rfam family: Bacterial small subunit ribosomal RNA
Source: RNAcentral
CUACGCACUCCUACGGGAGGCAGCAGUGGGGAAUAUUGCACAAUGGGCGCAAGCCUGAUGCAGCCAUGCCGCGUGUAUGAAGAAGGCCUCGGGUUGUAAAGUACUUUCAGCAGUGAGGAAGGUGGGUAUGUUAAUAGCAUAUUCAUUUGACGUUAGCUGCAGAAGAAGCACCGGCUAACUCCGUGCCAGCAGCCGCGGUAAUACGGAGGGUGCGAGCGUUAAUCGGAAUUACUGGGCGUAAAGCGCAUGCAGGUGGUUUGUUAAGUCAGAUGUGAAAGCCCGGGGCUCAACCUCGGAAUUGCAUUUGAAACUGGCAAACUAGAGUACUGUAGAGGGGGUAGAAUUUCAGGUGUAGCGGUGAAAUGCGUAGAGAUCUGAAGGAAUACCGGUGGCGAAGGCGGCCCCCCUGGACAGAUACUGACACUCAGAUGCGAAAGCGUGGGGAGCAAACAGGAUUAGAUACCCUGGUAG